RNAcentral lists this transfer RNA (73 nucleotides) under Ruminococcus sp. RNAcentral's name for it is "tRNA-Thr". It matches the Rfam family "tRNA". Rfam says of the family: Transfer RNA (tRNA) molecules are approximately 80 nucleotides in length. Their secondary structure includes four short double-helical elements and three loops (D, anti-codon, and T loops). Further hydrogen bonds mediate the characteristic L-shaped molecular structure. tRNAs have two regions of fundamental functional importance: the anti-codon, which is responsible for specific mRNA codon recognition, and the 3' end, to which the tRNAs corresponding amino acid is attached (by aminoacyl-tRNA synthetases). tRNAs cope with the degeneracy of the genetic code in two manners: having more than one tRNA (with a specific anti-codon) for a particular amino acid; and 'wobble' base-pairing, i.e. permitting non-standard base-pairing at the 3rd anti-codon position. Lineage: Bacteria; Bacillati; Bacillota; Clostridia; Eubacteriales; Oscillospiraceae. The record is from RNAcentral.
GCUUGUGUAGCACAGUCGGUAGUGCAGUUCAUUCGUAAUGAACAGGUCGCAGGUUCGAAUCCUGUCACAAGCU